Molecule: long non-coding RNA, 2063 nt
Filed under: Homo sapiens (human)
Lineage: Eukaryota; Metazoa; Chordata; Mammalia; Primates; Hominidae
Description: HSALNT0295477
Source: RNAcentral
ACGCCCAAUAUUUUUGUCUUAAGUUUCUAAGGAGUCCCAACACUGCACAGUAGCUGUUCAAUACAUUUUGAGUGAAUGAUUAAAAACAAGCUUGGUGUUGAUUUUAUUGGUACAAUUUAUAUUUACAUAUGUAAUGUUUAUAUUAUAUGCUUUUUAUAUAUUUAUAUGUGUGUAUGUAUAUAAUUGGCACCAACGUAGCAUUGCUGUGCUUAAGUGCCUGAGAUGUAUCUCAAAUGAAUAGACCUGAGGAGAGAAGCUUGUGUCAUUAGCUCUGACCCUGCAGCACUAAUCCUGGUUUACCCCUUUAUUUCACUCACCCUGAGCACAUCAAUUAAUUUGGUGAAAGAGCUUACACUUUAAGUGUAAGCUUAACAUCUCACUGAAAUAGUUCAUUCCAAAGAAAGAGCUAAUUCUAACCUCUCACAAGUGCUUGAGCAUUUGCAUAAGUGAAAUUUCACUGUGUGAGUUUCACCCAACACCACCUCUGCUCCAGCUCCUGCUACUCUGCUGCUCAUACUGUGGAACUCCACAGGUGGAGUAGAAGAUCAUCAGAGAGAGUUUUAUUUGCAGUAAAUUUGGUGUGCAACAGGCCAAGCAACGAGGAGUCAAGGUGAGGCAGAAGAACAGCAGAGGGAAGUGGAAGUUGGAUAAAGGGUGAACUGAGUAGGAGCGGAAGCAGGAUAAAGAGGUGGGUGAGCAAGAAGCAAGAUAAGCAGAAGUUGAGCAGCGAAAACAAAAGUGAGAUGGAGUAGUGAGUAAAAGUUUAUGGCUGGCAGGAUCCAGAACAAACCAGUAAAAGGCAUGCAUAUGACAGAGAAAAAGUAGCCUUAAAAUGACCCCGUAUGAUAAUCAGCUCAUUAAAGCUAAUGCAUAUGGACUGCAUAUCAUGGGUGUACUUAAAAUUAUGGGAUGGAGGUGAUGCGGAAGCACACAGGGGCCAAGUAACUAAGCAACCCACCUAUCAAUCAGAAGGCACAUGCUGGGUAGAGAUUAGGCAGCCCCAGGAAGAGGAGAAAAAAGAAAAAAAAAAAAACAUGUAAAAAGACCCAAAGCCCAAAGUUCACCAAACUGACGCUGAUCUCAUUUUGCAGAAGUCAGCCCGUUCUCCCCUCUCUGAGAGUGUUACUGUGCUUAAUAAGUCUCUUGCUGCUUUGCUACAUGUGUGUGUGUCACUUCCAAUUCUUUGUUAAAGACACCAAGAACCUGGGACUUCACAACACCAGCCGGUAACAAAGUCUCCCGGCAAACCCCUGGGUAACCCAAAGCCCAUCAGAGGGAUUCGCGUGCUGGGCUUUCCGCUACGUUAGGCCACGUCUCACUAUGGAGCGAGGAUCAAGAAGGUCCGGGAAGGAGAGAAGCUGCGGGGUCCAGGGAGACUCUUCGGCGGUUGGUCGGAGAGGUUUCAGCGGCCCAAGGAAAAGGGAAGCGUGUGGGAAUCUAUCCGCGUAGAGAUGAGGGGCGCGGCGGAGACAGUCCCACGCAGAGGUAUGCCCAAACACCGAGUUACUUAACCUCCUCAACCACCUUGGCAUCCGCGCCUUCCGUGGGCCCGUCGGUCUUCCGGGAGAGAUUCUGUGUCCCUGGUAUUGUGUGUCAACAGGUGUUAGCCUGAUAGUUAUAUUUUUAAUGAGAGAAAACGAACUACAGAAUUUGCGAGUUUUGCUUUUUUUCUGGUUUUGCUUUAUACCUCUUGGAUUCUCCUUCCAAAGGAUUCCAAUCUGAGGGGCAUUGAGGUGUGACUAUGGUAGACAAGGGGUGGUGAAUUUUCAUCCAAAAAUCUUUGGCGGAUUCCCUUGCUCUCCCGCUCCCCAGUCUAAGAGCAGUUUAAAACAGAAGAUCAGAAACAUUUGGAGAGUGUUUUUUUCUCUGCGUUCUAAUGAUAAACUUGAUUUAUUCAAUUCCAAAAGUUUCCUUAUUCUGAGGUUGUCUUUCCAUAUUUUGAGUAUAAAACCAUGGCCAUACUAUAUGUUGGACCCACGAAGGUUCUUCUCUUCACUUGUUUAUUUGUAAAGUCUCUUUGUAAUCUGAGAAUUUCUUGAGUAAACUGGGAACUGUUACACAUA